AAACCUGCCUCAUAGACUGGGACAACUAUUGGAAACGAUAGCUAAUACCGGAUAACAGCAUUAACUGCAUGGUUGAUGUUUAAAAGUUGGUUUUGCUAUCACUAUGAGAUGGCUUUGCGGUGCAUUAGCUAGUUGGUGGGGUAAAGGCCUACCAAGGCGACGAUGCAUAGCCGACCUGAGAGGGUGAUCGGCCACACUGGGACUGAGACACGGCCCAG
RNAcentral lists this ribosomal RNA (218 nucleotides) under uncultured bacterium. Its description in RNAcentral is "partial 16S ribosomal RNA". It matches the Rfam family "Bacterial small subunit ribosomal RNA", at positions 122 to 334 of the family's 1533-position model. The record is from RNAcentral.